This 130-nucleotide transfer RNA is filed under the name Nostoc punctiforme PCC 73102. RNAcentral describes it as "tRNA-Und (NNN) (tRNA-Und-NNN-2-1)". The record is from RNAcentral. Lineage: Bacteria; Bacillati; Cyanobacteriota; Cyanophyceae; Nostocales; Nostocaceae. RNAcentral also lists the same sequence under 1 other name.
GUGGUGGGUAGCUCAGUGGAUAGAGCGCCUAAAUAUCCUUAUUCACCCCUUGCCUGAAAAGGCCGACGAAUCGAGGGUUAUCGCCUGCCAAGCGGGAGGUCGCGGGUUCGAUUCCCGCUCCACUACACCA